Molecule: ribosomal RNA, 253 nt
Filed under: uncultured bacterium
Lineage: Bacteria
Description: partial 16S ribosomal RNA
Rfam family: Bacterial small subunit ribosomal RNA
Source: RNAcentral
UACGUAGGGGGCAAGCGUUGUCCGGAUUUAUUGGGCGUAAAGAGCGUGUAGGCGGCCAGGUAGGUCCGUUGUGAAAGCUCGAGGCUCAACCUCGAGACGUCGGCGGAAACCCUCUGGCUAGAGUCCGGAAGAGGAGAGUGGAAUUCCUGGUGUAGCGGUGAAAUGCGCAGAUAUCAGGAAGAACACCCGUGGCGAAGGCGGCUCUCUGGGACGGUACUGACGCUGAGGCGCGACAGCGUGGGGAGCAAACAGG